CACAAGCGUGGAGCAUGUGGUUUAAUUCGAAGCAACGCGAAGAACCUUACCAGGCCUUGACAUGCAGAGAACUUUCCAGAGAUGGAUUGGUGCCUUCGGGAACUCUGACACAGGUGCUGCAUGGCUGCCGUCAGCUCGUGUCGUGAGAUGUUGGGUUAAGUCCCGUAACGAGCGCAACCCUUGUCCUUAGUUACCAGCACGUUAUGGUGGGCACUCUAAGGAGACUGCCGGUGACAAACCGGAGGAAGGUGGGGAUGACGUCAAGUCAUCAUGGCCCUUACGGCCUGGGCUACACACGUGCUACAAUGGUCGGUACAAAGGGUUGCCAAGCCGCGAGGUGGAGCUAAUCCCAUAAAACCGAUCGUAGUCCGGAUCGCAGUCUGCAACUCGACUGCGUGAAGUCGGAAUCGCUAGUAAUCGUGAAUCAGAAUGUCACGGUGAAUACGUUCCCGGGCCUU
RNAcentral lists this ribosomal RNA (458 nucleotides) under uncultured Pseudomonas sp. RNAcentral describes it as "bacterial SSU rRNA". It matches the Rfam family "Bacterial small subunit ribosomal RNA", at positions 924 to 1382 of the family's 1533-position model. The record is from RNAcentral. Lineage: Bacteria; Pseudomonadati; Pseudomonadota; Gammaproteobacteria; Pseudomonadales; Pseudomonadaceae.